AAGUAAGAAGCAAAUAUUGCAAUCAGUUUCGACCUGAUCAUUGAUGAGAAAUCAUCCUUACUUU
Molecule: transfer RNA, 64 nt
Filed under: Pericapritermes sp. H SH-2022a
Lineage: Eukaryota; Metazoa; Arthropoda; Insecta; Blattodea; Termitidae
Description: tRNA-Arg
Source: RNAcentral